UAUCAGAUAUCCAUUUUAUUUGUCUUUGCAAACUAAGUUUUGUUAUAAUGGAAUCUCUUUUAAAGUUGUUGUUUAAAUAUUUUGUGUUAAUUUUUGCUAUUGUAGGUGCUCAUGUUGGGAAUGCACAAGACUUACCAUCAUGCUGCCCGCAUCCUAAUGUUGAAUGUCAACCAAUUCAUUGUCCUAAACUCCCAUGUUGCAAACCUCCUAUGCCUCCUAGUAGUGCUACAAAGCUUUGAAACUUCUCAUAUCGUCUAUUCCUACUGUUAAACCAAUCAAUUUGUAUUUGAGAUAACUUUAUAAGAAUUUUAGUUAUUUUAUUAAUAAGAUUGGUUAAUAAAUUGUUGUCUCUUGUUCUCUACUAAUGUUUGCCAAGGAAUUAAACUCUUUAUUGAGUAUAAUUAUAUCUUCAUUAUAAUGGAUUCAUAUAUGUUAUGGUGAACUGCUUGUCGAUUACAUCAAUCAUCAAUUGAUUAAAACUAAAAAAUUGUUUUUAAAGAAACUGUUAUAACGAUAAAAUAGUUUACCAUGUAAUAUUUAAAUAAAAACAAUUUUUUAAACAAUUUAAGAAUGGGAAAAAUUAUAUUUCCUAAAACUUGAAGUUAUUAAAAUAUUAUAAUGUUUCAUAAAAAAAACGUAUUUUCAUCUUUUGAGGUGUCGAGGACAAAUACAUAGCAUUGAGCUAAAUACAUUUUUUUACCAACCAAUAUUAAUCUUCAUAUCUUAAAAAAAACUGAUUUUGCAUAUAAUCAUAUAAUAAAUUAUAUAUACGGUUGUUGUGAUUUAUUAAAACAUAGAUUAAUAGUUAGUCAAGAAAAAAAGUGAAGUCAAUGGAAAAAAAAAGGUAGUCAAUGUUACAUAAAUAUAUUAGUUAAAAAUUAAUUUUAGUAAAGUCUAAAUGCAUAUAUAUUUUAAAAAUUGAAAUUCUAGAACUCUCUAUUUUAUUUUCUAUAAAUAAAUAAAAAAUGUACAUAUUUUAUUCCAAAUAAAACUCAAUAUCAGAUAUCCACUUUAUUUGUCUUUGCAAACUAAGUUUUGUUAUAAUGGAAUUUCUUUUGAAGUUGUUGUUUAACUAUUUUGUGUUAAUUGUUGCUAUUGUAGGUGCUCAUGUUGGGAAUGCACAAGACUUACCACCAUGCUGCGCGCAUCCUGGUCUUGAAUGUCAACCAAUUCAUUGUCCUAAACUCCCAUGUUGCAAACCUUCUACGCCUCCUAAUAGUGAUACAAAGCUUUGAAAUUUCUCAUAUCGUUUUUCCUACUGUUAAACCAAUCAAUU
This 1276-nucleotide long non-coding RNA is filed under the name Lathyrus oleraceus (garden pea). RNAcentral describes it as "Pisum sativum (pea) long non-coding RNA (PSAT_LNC039992)". The record is from RNAcentral. Lineage: Eukaryota; Viridiplantae; Streptophyta; Magnoliopsida; Fabales; Fabaceae.